GCUUUUGCUGUGGGCAUCUGUCACAUGCCCACAACCUAAGUUUUUUUUUUUUGUCUUUUUCUUUGGCAUUUGGGUUGCUAUGGGAAUCAUGUCACAUGCCCACAGCGUAAUUAAAUUUUUUUGUCUUUUUGUUUGGCCUUUGGGUAACCCAAAGGUUGGCCUUGGGUAACCCAAAGGCCAAACAACUAUAAUGCAAAGGCUGUGAGAUUAUAAAUUCAUGCAAAUCCGCCUCCUGACCUUCGCGCCCAUCUUUCUUUCCUUCGUAUUCUUUCUUCCCCUUUCCUUCUUUUGCCGGUGCUUAGCACCCUUAAGCUAUCUUCUCCUCUCUCUUUUUUCUUUUCAGUUCUUACAUAUCUUCCUAAAAUUAUUUUUGUCCUCUUUUUUUCGUCGCUUGAAAAGAAGUCGCGUGAAAAGAAGGCAAAGACAUUUCAUAUUGCAGAUUUGCUUGUUAGGUAAGUCAAAAAAAUUAUAAUUUAAAUUUUUUAUUUAUAAAUAUAGGGGCUAGUUUUUAAUUGACAUAUCUGAUCCAGCACAGACAUCCACUUUCUUUUCGCAAAUUAUUUUAUCAAAAUUUCUCGCACCGUGAAGCGUUCGGCGAAUCAGGGUAAACAACAUCAAUCAUAAUUUCUUUUUUUUUUCUUUUUUCUUUUUUUUCUUGUCG
This 661-nucleotide long non-coding RNA is filed under the name Ananas comosus (pineapple). RNAcentral describes it as "long non-coding RNA (ACOM_LNC022260)". The record is from RNAcentral. Lineage: Eukaryota; Viridiplantae; Streptophyta; Magnoliopsida; Poales; Bromeliaceae.